Molecule: long non-coding RNA, 1485 nt
Organism: Bombus pyrosoma
Lineage: Eukaryota; Metazoa; Arthropoda; Insecta; Hymenoptera; Apidae
Exons: 4
Source: RefSeq, a predicted model, not a curated record
CCACGAAUCUGGAUCUUCCACUUUAACGUAAUCAGUGUACUGUGCACAAACAUAAACGAACUGCAUUCUUCACCUUUAUGAGACACAUAUACGUGCAUUAUCUGGGGAAAAACUAUUUUAAGGAAACGCAACUUACAAUGUAAUCUUGUCAUUCUUGGUUUUCGUUUUAUUCUGAGCCACGGAAACAUCCUUCGAAUUACGAUAGUAAAAAUACUACGAGAUAAGACACUUAAACUAGGUCGUACGGAGGUAUUUGAUUGAAACAUGAAACACUUGCAAGAUAAUAUAGUGUGCAGGAUAUCCUCAAAGUUUAUACGAAAUCUAAUUCGUUGAAGCCAACGUAACUUUUUGUAUAAAAGACCGACGAAUGAAGAGGAAUGCAAGAAACCGAACGGGUGGUACUGACACGACGUCGACGCUCGGCGUCGCGACGCUCGUGCCCUACUAACCCGCAUUUCGUGCACGAUGCUACCCUUGGCAAUACUUUUCCUGACUACGUCACGCGAUGUACACGCGCCUGUGCAAGAGGGUUGUCGACGUGGAACAGGGUGCGGGAGGAGAACAACCCCGUGGCGUCUCUGCUAAUAAAGCUUAUCCUCGUCAGGGUCGCGGUCCAUGUAAAUCAAUGCCGAAAGAGGGUGGAAUAUUGUCACGGCUGACCAAAUACAGCGGCUCACGAAAGUAUGUGAACUGUCUUAGAAACUCUGUGUAUACAAUCCGGCCCGAGUGUUUGAAACAUCUUUUGCUUUUUCGACAAACGUUUUCGUAUAUCUGUUCGAGAAACAAGAGGAAGGUAUCGCAUGUAUUACAAUUAUAGAUUUCAUCUCUAAAUAUCAUUACGAAUUUGUUUUACGUUGAAACGAUUGCGAAUUUUUAUGAAUUUAUAACAAAUUUGAAAUUACGAAAUUGCACAGAAUGCACAUAAUACGAACAGAUGUAUGAAAUAUUCAAAGUAUAGCGCUUCCUAUAAUACUUGACAGAUGAAACAAUUUUCUAUCGAGGAUCUACGUUUCUAAUUGUAUUCUCUGCAAUAUGAAUUUGCACAAACAUUCGCAGUCUUCCAAUUAUAAUUCCAACACUAUCAAAGAAUAACAUUAUGAAUAAAACAGUCAUUUACUAAAGGUAGUCAUUAUCUUUUAUGAUCUCUAUGAUGUCUUUUAAGAUCUUUUGAGACCGAGACAUACUAAAAAUUUUCAAGCCGGAGGAUAUACCUAAUUAAUGCUAUUUACAAUCUAGGUUGUACACAGUAUUUUCUUAAGAGAUAAAACAUCGUUUUUCGAAAUUAGUUCACAAAUUGUAUCUUGAGUUUGUUAGACCUUAGACUGAUAUUCUUAGAAUAGCAGUAAUAGCUCGAUGUAUUUGUACGUAGAUUGUAGAACUAGAAACUAAAACUAGAAACUAAUAGGUAAAUUAAUUUUUAGUACAGGACAAGAAUAAUAUGUAAAAGCAAACAUGAAGGUAAAAUAAAGAAAUGCAUAAAGCAAA